GAUGAACGCUGACAGAAUGCUUAACACAUGCAAGUCCACUUGAACUUCGGUUUGGGUGGCGGACGGGUGAGUAACGCGUAAAGAACUUGCCUCACAGAUAGGGACAACAUUUGGAAACGAAUGCUAAUACCUGAUAUUAUGAUUAUAUGGCAUCGUAUAAUUAUGAAAGCUAUAUGCGCUGUGAGAGAGCUUUGCGUCCCAUUAGCUAGUUGGAGAGGUAACGGCUCACCAAGGCGAUGAUGGGUAGCCGGCCUGAGAGGGUGAUCGGCCACAAGGGGACUGAGACACGGCCCUUACUCCUACGGGAGGCAGCAGUGGGGAAUAUUGGACAAUGGACCAAGAGUCUGAUCCAGCAAUUCUGUGUGCACGAUGAAGUUUUUCGGAAUGUAAAGUGCUUUCAGUUGGGAAGAAAAAAAUGACGGUACCAACAGAAGAAGUGACGGCUAAAUACGU
Molecule: ribosomal RNA, 453 nt
Filed under: uncultured bacterium
Lineage: Bacteria
Description: partial 16S ribosomal RNA
Rfam family: Bacterial small subunit ribosomal RNA
Source: RNAcentral